UGUGUGUGUCUAUAUAUACUCUCCUCUAUUGCAUAUAUAUACAUACAUAACAUUGCAUUUUGAGAAUUUGGUGUUCAUGUUCAAGUGUUUCCAUCCAUCAGCUGUG
Drosophila navojoa is the source of this 106-nucleotide long non-coding RNA. The record is from RefSeq and is a predicted model, not a curated record. Lineage: Eukaryota; Metazoa; Arthropoda; Insecta; Diptera; Drosophilidae.